This is a long non-coding RNA of Lycium barbarum (goji berry), 1106 nucleotides long. RefSeq lists it as uncharacterized. Lineage: Eukaryota; Viridiplantae; Streptophyta; Magnoliopsida; Solanales; Solanaceae. The transcript has 2 exons. The record is from RefSeq and is a predicted model, not a curated record.
AGUCUCAUGGCUUUGUAUUGUAACAAAAAAUAGCCGUGUAGUUGACCGUGUAUAUAAGAAGAUUUGAGAAAUCUGGAAAGUACUAAAUUGUAAUUAAUGCUUAGCCCAUUCACUACCAAAAAAGCGUGUUCUACCCACGGUUCCAAAAACCAUGGCAAAAUUAAUCACAAAAUAUAAGGUUCUCGACACUUACGAAACUGACGCUAAAAUAUCGUGGGCAAAACAGGCAAGUUUCCAUUUAUUUCGUUGUUAAUUUUUCUUAUUUGGUUCCCCCAUUUAGUUCUUCUCUUUACCAAAUUGAAAGAAAAUAGAAAACAAAAACUCUUUGCAAACCCUAGUCUUUCACCGUCCCAAAAUGGACUGCUUCACUGUACCAAGCUUCGAAAAUGGCAUAAUCUCUUCUUAAAUCUGAAGAAGCUACUGAUAUUCUCAGCAUUUCAUAGGGGAAAGUUUAUCUUCUCUGCUUCAGGAUAAAAUAUCGGAGCAUCUAUCUCAAGAUCAAGAACAUGCUGCCACUUUAGGUGUUCCAUUGAAGAUAUUGGCUCAUCCUAAUGACGCCAUUGGAAAAGUAUAUGGAACUGAACAUUCUGGUCGUGUGCAUGGUUUAAGUGGUAAUGUUUUCCCCUCGACUACUUUGGAAUGCCUAAACAUUCAAUUAGUCAUGUGAAUCUUGGUGGUUCUAGUAAUAUAUCUCAUCAACGUGUUGAAGACCUAGAGAAGCAUGUAGAAACCUUGGAAGAAAAGCUGACUGGAUAUGAAGAGAUGAAGGAAACACUUGAGAAUACCAAGGAACAACUUGUGGAGACUAAGGAACGGCUUGCGCAAAAUGAGAAUUACCUGGCAACUCUUCAUAGGUUUUUACAAGCUAAAUUUGGUAGGUGAGUUGCCUAGUUUCAACUUAGAUUCUUCUUAGCCUUUUGUGCAUAGAAUAUUUUUGUACCACUAAAUAUGUGGUGUACCUCUAACUUUAUGCUUUUCCAUUACACUAGCAAUUGUGGUAUCUUUUUUGUAUGUUCAAGGUUUGAAACUUAUGAUUUGAUAGAUAUGAUAAGUAGAACUUUAAAACUUUGAUAUUUAUAGCAAUGCUUUGUGUACUUUGUCCAUUG